UUGGAGGGCAAGUCUGGUGCCAGCAGCCGCGGUAAUUCCAGCUCCAAUAGCGUAUAUUAAAGUUGUUGCAGUUAAAAAGCUCGUAGUUGAAUUUCGGGGUUAGUAGGUUGGUCAUGCCUCUGGUAUGUACUGGUCUCACUGAUUCCUACCUUCUGACGAACCAUCAUGUCAUUAAUUUGGUGUGGUGGGGAAUCAGGACUGUUACUUUGAAAAAAUUAGAGUGUUUAAAGCAGGCUCGCGCUUGAAUACAUUAGCAUGGAAUAAUGAAAUAGGACGUUGACCCUAUUUUGUUGGUUUCUAGGAUUGACGUAAUGAUUAAUAGGGAUAGUUGGGGGCAUUAGUAUUCAAUUGUCAGAGGUGAAAUUCUUGGAUUUAUUGGAGACUAACUACUGCGAAAGCAUUUGCCAAGGAUGUUUUCAUUAAUCAAGAACGAAAGUUAGGGGAUCGAAGACGAUCAGAUACCGUCGUAGUCUUAACCAUAAACUAUGCCGACUAGGGAUCGGAUGAUGUUAAUUUUUUAAUGACUCAUUCGGCGCCUUACGGGAAAC
This 548-nucleotide ribosomal RNA is filed under the name uncultured Glomus. RNAcentral's name for it is "SSU rRNA". It matches the Rfam family "Eukaryotic small subunit ribosomal RNA", at positions 548 to 1098 of the family's 1831-position model. Lineage: Eukaryota; Fungi; Glomeromycota; Glomeromycetes; Glomerales; Glomeraceae. The record is from RNAcentral.